UUUCUGACCUUGGAAGACUUGGCUCUUCCCUGAGCCCUUCCCACAUCAAGGAGGUCUUUCAGGUACUAUCCUUGGCUGAGGCCCAGACGGCUUGAGUAGGCAUCAAAUCCCACCCCUUCUUUCUACAUGCGAGCAUCUUGAAGCCCAGAUCCCCUGUCAAGGUCAUUCACAAAGUCAAAGGCAGAGCCAGGGGUCAAACUCCUCUCAGUUGUCAUCACUGUCCCACCCUGUCUUGGCCCUUACCUUGCUCAACAGAACGGGGCAUGGUGCACCCUAAACUGUAAUGUGACAAAAGCCAACACAGGUCUCAAUCCAAGAAGCCGCUCUCCAAAAACAAGAGAGCUUUGGUAACAUCAUUGUGUGAGUGUGUGAGUGUGUGUGUGUGUGAUAGGGAUUGUGUGGAAUUCUGUCUCAUUCCUCUUUGUAGCAUCUGUCCUGUGAUAAGCCCUCAACAAGGAAGGAAAGGAAGAAGGGAGAGUGCUAUGGGCUGAAUUGUGCCCCCCACAGAUUCAUAAGUUGAAGUCAGCCCCUGUAUCUCAGAAUGUGACUGUUAAAGAGGUGAUUAAGUUAAAAUGGGGCUUUGAAGGUGGGUCCUCAUCCAGUCUGACUGAAGUCCUAAUGAGAGAGGAGAUCAGGACACGAGGAGAGACACAGGUCUUCACAGAAGCAGACUCUGCGCAGUCAGCAAGAGGGCUGCCAUGUGCGAGCCAAGGAAAGAGGCCUCGGAGGAAACCAACCCUGCUGGCGCCUUGAUUGUGGACUUCCAGCCUCUAGAACGCUCUGCAAAUCGUCUUCAUUAAACUGCUCUCAGUUAAAGCUUUGAGUGUGCCAAUGUGGGGAUUCUGACUGUAAGGAAAAUGGAUGUGCUGUGGUCAAGAAUAGGCCAAGGCAGACAUCUGGUCUAGCGUGACUCAGCAAGUUUGGAGCACAGGCGCACAACCCCACGCAUUAUGUAACCACACCACGUGAGGCACAUUAGAUGAUCACCCAUGUGAGUUCUUGCUUGGCUCGGAGCCACUAUUGUCUGUAAAAGGUAUAGUUACCCUGCUGAUGCUGUACAUAUGGCUUGCACCCAGAGAUGGAGUAAAGCCAUGUCAAAACUGUCUAUGAUUCCUUGAGUGUUUUUCCAGCUACCAGCCACUCACCCACUGACUCCCUUCAGACCUCAGUUAGAACCUGACGAUUGGCAUUAUGAACAGGAUCCUGAGCUGUGCUUCUGGAAUGGGCUGUGAUGGAAACCUGACUGGUGGUGGAUGGGUCCCUCAUGAGCAUGGAGCAGCAGUGAAAAAACUGGAAGUGCAGAGAACUGAGAAGGAGGAAAUGGCCGAGGUGUCUGGCUUGGGGACAUACUGGAUGACCAGAGGCCACAUGUGGACUUGGCAAUCCACUGAUCCCUGCACCUGGAUAAGUUUCCAGGCAAGGCUGCAUAGAUGGCUAUGGAGACUGGUGAGUGAAAGUGAAGCCUAUAUCUCUGCACCUUGGCAUCGGCCGCUUGGCUUCCUGCUUAUGCACUGUGUAUAUCUCUCCCAUACCUGAAUACAUUCUGGGGGUGGAUGUUUUACACGGGUUGGCAGCUGUGCCAUCUAUCACGGGUUUGGUGGACUGCUUGACAACAGAACUGAGACAGCACCCCUAUGCAGGGGACUUGGCCAAUGCAGUCUUCUCAAUUGACAUUGCUCUACAGAGCCAGGAACAGUUUGCCUUCAUGGGAGGGCAACAAUGGAUUUUCACAGUGCUGCCACAGGGCUACAUGCAUAGCCCCACCUUAUGUCAUGGUCUUGUUGAUGAUAUUAUGUUAACCUCUCACUCUCUUGCAGAUUUAGAAGUAGCAAUGCCCCUCUUGCCUGGGAUUGAGAGAGUGCUGCUGAAGCCGCCUUCCUGCCAGCCAACCGGGCUAUUCAGCAGAUGCAGGCCCUACGAGUGAUUGACCAGGGUUGCCCAUUUAAAUUUGAUAUGCAUGUGACCACAGAUGGGUUUGGCUGGGGCCUGUGGCUGUGCAUGGAGCACUUUAGAAUGAUAGUAGGCUUUUGGUCCCAACUUUAGAAGGGAGCUGAGCUCUGGUAUUCAUUGAUAGAGAAGCAGUUAGUAGCUGCAUAUACUGCCCCUCAGGCUCAUGAGAGCAUGGCAAGAUGAGCUACAGUCAUCAUGCUGAUGAUUUACUCAAUAGCAACUUGGGUACAGUUAUGGCUAUGGAUCCCCCUGCCUGUGACAGUGUAGACAUCCCUUUAGCAAAGUGGGGCACCUACUUAAAGCAGCAGAGUACACUGAGUACAACCCCUUACAGCAGAGUUGCAAGAGGUCUUGGGACCUGUAGUCUUAAUGCAAGACAAGGUCAUGGGGCCUGAGGUACCCCUAGACAUGGUUCUAGCUAAGGUGCUACUGCUGCUUGGACUGCUGUUGCAGUCCAACCUAGUACUGGCACCAUAUGGUUUGAAACCAGGUAUGGACAAAGUAGCCAAUGGGCUGAACUCAGGGCAGUGUGAAUGGUGAUCACCAAGGUGGUGACACCAAUGGUAAUCUGCACUGAUAGCUGGGCAGUUUAUUGAGGCUCAACCUUGUGGUUAACUACCUGCAAGUUACAGAAGUAGCUAGUCACCAGCCCAUGUGGGGCCAACCCAUGUGGCAAGACCUGUAGGAGGAAGGAUGACCUUCUCCAACCACAUAUGGGGACAAACGGUAACCUGUUGUUGCCUGCCCCAGUGCCCCUAAAGGUAGGAAAAUAAAAACCUGGCUUAAUGUAUAAAGCAGCAUUGGGGUAACAUCACCAUGGGGUGGUUGCCUGCCAUAACCUGGAGUUGUUGCUCCCUGUAGUACUGCUGUGGCCUCUGGAUUCAGGGUACUGCCCUGCAGGCGUGUCUCCCAGUAGAAGAACUCCCUUGGCUUACAGGGUGGAAUGUAAGGCCUGUGUGUCAGACCUGUGUGUCCAAGGCCUAUGUCUCCCUCAACCUAGGGGGUGGAGUGUAAGGAAAAUGGAUUUGCUGCAGUCAAGAAUAGGCCAAGGUAGAUAUCCAGUCCAGCAUGACUCAGCGAGUUUGGAGCACAGGUGCACAACUCCACACAUUAUGUAAUCACGCCGCGUGAGGCGCAUUAGGUGAUCACACACAUGAGCUUGUGCUUGGCUCAGACCCACUAUUGUCUGUACAAGGUAUAAUUACCCUGCUGAUGCUGUACAUACGGCUUACGCCUGGGCUCACUUGUGCCCAGAGAGAGAGUAAAGCCAUGUCGAAACUGUUUAUGAUUCCUCGAGUGUUUUUCCAGCUACCCACCACUCACCCACUGACUCCCCUCAGACCUCAGUUAGAACCUGACACUGACUAAGACACAGUCGUAGCUCAGAGGAUAUUUGAUUUCUUAUCCUGGACACUGAAAGCAGUUACAUGGAUUCUAUCAUACUUUGGCAUAAUUUCUCCUUCUGCAUACUUUAUGGGGUGAGGAUACAGAAUACGUCCCUGUUGCUAAUCUCUAAGUGAACUCUGUGCCCUUUAAAUCUUCUUGGACAAGCAUCCUUGUGGUUUUCACCAGGUGUACUCAAUCUAGAACAGGAAGGAGUGUGGAUGAAGUUGCUUGUGUGAAAUAGUAACAGAUGUAUGUAUCCAGUGCUGUGCUGGUCAAUGUUUAAAGUUCAGCUCUGGUGGAGGUGGGGUCUAGGAGGCCCCAGUUUGUAGCAUUUGCCAUUUUCUGUGGUGUAAAUAUUUUUACCAUGCUGAUUUUAAACCACAAGUGUAACAUCAUUGAACAUACUUUGGGAAGAGAUGCUACCUAGCUCUUGCAAGCUGAUGCAAGCUGGUUCCAGCACCUCCCUGUUUACACUCAGUUAUAGACAGAUUAGGAUAAACACAUUUAUGUUACAGUGGGAAUUUCAUAGGUUAAAACAUUACUGUAAAGAAGUUUGACGAGAAAGUCAUUGUGGGUGUAUUAUUAGUCAGCAGGUGAAUAUAAAUAGGAAGCACAGGUGUGUUUGUGUUCUCAGGGGAGGGCCCUGCUGCUGUUCAGUCACUCCGGGUUUCAAAUGCAAAGUGAAGGCAGCCUCGUGAUCCUAGAAUCCUGAAACAUUGUCACAGCUUCUGAACUAUUGGAUAUGUUGGCUUAUUAUUUGCAAAUAAAACUUCAGUUAUAGCUUGAAGCUUAUUUUAUCCUUUCUCAAAUUAGUUUUAUGUCAAAUUAGCAACAUAAGGUGAGAAUGAAAAAAUUAACUAAAAAUGA
Cercocebus atys (sooty mangabey) is the source of this 4203-nucleotide long non-coding RNA. RefSeq lists it as uncharacterized. The record is from RefSeq and is a predicted model, not a curated record. The transcript has 3 exons. Lineage: Eukaryota; Metazoa; Chordata; Mammalia; Primates; Cercopithecidae.